Long non-coding RNA from Cygnus olor (mute swan), 2418 nucleotides. RefSeq lists it as uncharacterized. The record is from RefSeq and is a predicted model, not a curated record. The transcript is spliced from 6 exons. Lineage: Eukaryota; Metazoa; Chordata; Aves; Anseriformes; Anatidae.
CCUGCGUUUUGUUCGUAACAUUUGUAGCGUGCCUGUGUGUGUUUGGCCUGGAGCUGUCCUGCCUGGCAGUUAGUGAUGGUAGCUAAUGUGGCGGUCCAUCAGUGUACUAAUACAUUGUCUGGACUGUUUUGGCAAAGACAUCUGGUCUGCCUCUGGGCAUGUACUCAAGGGCAGCUGGCACAGAGUCAUCUCUGUGGUGUUUGGCAGAUGUGGAGGGAGAGACUUGAGCUGCUUGCGAGCAGCUGUUCGCAUAGUGCUUGAAUAGUUUUAGAGGAGAGGUCUGUUGAAUCUUGAAAGCUUGCAGAUGUGGACUGUUUCUUUUUUUGCCAGCCUUAGAUAAACCUUAGGAGGAACUGGUCCAAGGAAAGAGCGCCUUCUGGAACUGUCAAGCUCUUGUUCGGCAGCUCGGUGACUGGCUUGGCCUAGUUUUGAGGUGCCGAGGCAAGUUGUCUGCUGUUCUGAAGUGAUAAAAAUAAAAAUGGGGUCCUUUGUGUUGUUGAGGGAUGGGUGCUAAUGCUGGCAGCUGAAUGGUUAUCUUCUGACUGUGUUUUCAUUUGUUAAAGCUGAAAUGCAGUGUACAGCCUGGGACGUCGCACCCAGAGCUGCCUCUGGCUAGAGGUCUUGUAGCUGGCUUAAGAGGGCAGAUGGAAGCAUCUGCCUCAGGGGCAGGUGAGCGGGCAGAGGUGUCUCACACAGGCUCAGAUGAGUAAACUGCACUCUGAAGAGCUGUGUGCCAUGGCAGGCUCUCCACAGAAGUGGCUGAGGAUUUGAGAUGAGGCCAGAGAGCGACAAGGAGUGGCACGUGCAGUGAUGGUUUCCAAGCACUGCGCUUGCUUUCUCUUCUGUUUAUCAGGUGCUACAGGCAAGCUAUGAAAAAGAAGCCUAAAAAGAGGGACAUGUUGUACGCAGUGCAGAAAAGAAAAAUUCACAAGAUACAAGGCCAGUGAAGUUCAGUCACCUUCUUUGUGCACGCACCUUUUCUUACAAUGGGAGGGACUCCUUCACCGAACUUCAGCCACUCCCCAGCUGUCCUUCACAAGCCUCCUCAAGGCCUUUCUUUGCUGCACUGCCUACAAAUCACCGUCACCCGGUAGUCUUGAAGCUGGAGGCCAUCUGUGACCAUGGUGACUGCUGAUUUAUGGAAGCACACCCAUCUUUGUUAUUCACACCACCUUCUUGUACACAUUUUCCCCUUAGUCACCGUAUUUCUUUCUUGUCUUGGGAACAUGGAGUGCAAAGAGUCUGGGGUGGGAACUGCCUAAAGUAAUGAAUAAGAGGUGCAAAAUAGAUCAAGUAGAGCAUUGUGAAAAAUAUAUUGAGAAAUAAUAAUAUGUUUGGAGUGCAUAUUUGUCAAAACAAGAUUGUAUCAAAUAUAAUUACAGAGGAAGACAUAUCUACCGAGGUAUGUAGGCCAGAAUCACUGAUCAAGCCAAAGACUGGAAGGACCGUGGUGACAUAACACUCACUAUCAUUAAAUCUAGACAAGCCUCCGUCUAAUUUAGUGUAGCCUUGAAGCCGUUCUGAAUUUUCUUGUCUUUCAUAGCUCUCAGGGUGCAGUUGUGUCCCAGGGCUCACCAGAGCUUUGACACUUUUGGGACAUGCAUAAGCCCCCAGCGCAGGUGGCUGAGAAGAGGACACAGUGUGUCAGAGAUUCUUCUGGUAGAUUUGUCCUGUGUCUCCUCUGUCCUGGAGAAUUCUCAAGGGACAAGUUAGAAGAGCUUUAUGGCUGCCAUGCCUCUCUGGAAAGAGGCCAAACAUUUACCUUUUUAUAGAACUAUAUUAAGGCAAUCUAGGAAUGUAUGUAAGUGGGAAGCACUUGAAUCUAUGUAAAGAAAACUUGUUAUAUUCAUCAGAAGAUAAAUAAUAUGGGAGAGCCUGUAUCUAGCAGGUAUAAAAUCAACUCAUGGUAGUUAAACAUUUCAGAGAAACAUGCUAUAUUCAAUAACAAGGGCCCAAUCCUGCCACUGCUGAAGCAAUAGUAGAUGGACAUAGUCAGGACAGAAUUCCUGAGCUGCUAGCUGAGGAUUAUUUAUUUUUCAUAGCCUUGUAUGACAUGUAAUCUCUUCAUUGCCGUUGUCCUGCCUUCUACAUUUUUAUAUGCCAUAGCAUCAGUCUGAGAUGAUUUUGGUGGAAGAUGGUUUAUAUAUGCACAGAUCCAUGGUGCAGAAUCAGCUUAGCCUUUUUGAUUUAUUUCUCAAAGCUCUCCUGCAUGGUUUCUGUCUUGAUUUUCUUGUCAACAUGAUUUAGUGCAAGUCUCUGGGGAUGCCUGGUGCAUUAUGUGAAACUGGUGUUAUUGUUGUCCUAGCAGACUCAAGCAAAGGACUGCUUUUUGUGGAACUGUUUCAUGUUACAUAUUCUAAUAAUGUCAAACUUCUGAAGGAAAUUCUCCUGGAACAAACUCAAGCUGCCUUUGCAAAG